CGGCGCGGAGCAUGGCGUCCCCGAGAGCUGGAGCAUGGGAGGCGGUUGUGGCGUGGGAUCUAGGGUGUCUGCAGCGGACUCGGCGGCCCUGUGAGGCGCUCGGCCCGCCGGACCCCGCGUGAAGCUGGUCGCUGUGGAAGCCGAGCGCCGUUUGGGAUGUAGAUCUCCGCCAUAAGCCCAGGCACAGAACUGGGCGGGAAUAAAGCGAAGACCCAGGUCACACGGUGGGUACCUGAAGCUGACGGAUAUUUCCUGAACGACACACGGGAGCACAGAGUGGUUUAAGGAUGUCCUUGAUUUGGAAAUUUGAUCUACAGAAGCACGAGUGAUUUAAAUUUUCUAGGGGCCGUGUCAAAACUCCAUAGAUGAAUGCUCAUUUGUAACAAGGCUAUGAAUAAAUGCUUUGAUGUGCUGUUCUGACAUGUGUAUGUUGUGUGAUUGGCGGCCACCUUACUGUCCAUACCAACAGCUAAACUGAUCGUUGACUUCAGCUAAGACUGACAUAUUCUUUUGCUUAACAGAAAG
Mus caroli (Ryukyu mouse) is the source of this 525-nucleotide long non-coding RNA. RefSeq lists it as uncharacterized. NCBI's taxonomy places the organism in Eukaryota, Metazoa, Chordata, Mammalia, Rodentia, Muridae. The record is from RefSeq and is a predicted model, not a curated record.